Molecule: ribosomal RNA, 780 nt
Filed under: uncultured cyanobacterium
Lineage: Bacteria; Bacillati; Cyanobacteriota
Description: bacterial SSU rRNA
Rfam family: Bacterial small subunit ribosomal RNA
Source: RNAcentral
GGUGAGUAACACGUGAGAAUCUGCCCUUAGGAGGAGGAUAACAGCUGGAAACGGUUGCUAAUACUCCAUAUGCCGAGAGGUGAAAGGAUUUAUCUACCUAAGGAGGAGCUCGCGUCUGAUUAGCUAGUUGGUAGGGUAAUGGCCUACCAAGGCGACGAUCAGUAGCUGGUUUGAGAGGAUGAUCAGCCACACUGGGACUGAGACACGGCCCAGACUCCUACGGGAGGCAGCAGUAGGGAAUUUUCCGCAAUGGGCGAAAGCCUGACGGAGCAAUACCGCGUGAGGGAUGACGGCCUGUGGGUUGUAAACCUCUUUUCUCAAGGAAGAAGUUCUGACGGUACUUGAGGAAUAAGCAUCGGCUAACUCUGUGCCAGCAGCCGCGGUAAUACAGAGGAUGCAAGCGUUAUCCGGAAUCACUGGGCAUAAAGCGUCUGUAGGUGGUUUGGUAAGUCUGCUGUUAAAGACUGGGGCUCAACCCCAGAAAAGCAGUGGAAACUGCUAGACUUGAGUGUGGUAGAGGUAGAGGAAAUUCCUAGUGUAGCGGUGAAAUGCGUAGAUAUUAGGAAGAACACCAAUGGCGAAGGCACUCUACUGGACCAUAACUGACACUGAGAGACGACAGCUAGGGGAGCAAAUGGGAUUAGAUACCCCAGUAGUCCUAGCCGUAAACGAUGGAUACUAGAUGUUGCACGUAUUAACCCGUGCAGUAUCGUAGCUAAGGCGUUAAGUAUCCCGCCUGGGAAGUACGCUCGCAAGAGUGAAACUCAAAGGAAUUGACGG